Molecule: non-coding RNA, 1942 nt
Organism: Camelina sativa (false flax)
Lineage: Eukaryota; Viridiplantae; Streptophyta; Magnoliopsida; Brassicales; Brassicaceae
Source: RefSeq, a predicted model, not a curated record
AAUGCCAUAUAAAGCACCACUGGUCCCCCCACUCAUAAGCUAGCUUUUGUGGUGGGUUCUACCUUUGGGCUUUAUUGGCUUGGUUUAAGGUCCAAUAUGGACGAAAGUGGUAUCAAAGUGUAACGUAACCAACCUUGCACUUCAUCUUUUCUGGAAUAGUUACACUACUAGAAACAUAGUAGUUGUAGGAAAUGCUUUUACUUAAUUUGUAUGAAGUUUAGAUUAUAGUCUGUUCUCUUUUGGCUGCUUGUAGUAUACUGACUAUAGGUUAUCAAGCUUUGUAUUUGAUAAAUUUAUAGUCUGUUCACUGGUUAUCAAGCUUUGUAUUUGAUAAAUUUAUGUGUGAUUUAAAAAUGAUUCAGUGGAUUCCUCUACCUUAGUGACAUAGUACACUCCAGAUAUUGCUAUGUCUAAUUUUUUCCUAUAUGUUGGUCGUAUUUUAGUCCAUCUUGAUCAGCUGACCAAAGGCUCUCUAUAUUAUGGCAGGUUAGGUUGUUAUCUCUUCUCAACCUUAGAUAUGGCUUACAACGUGGUCUCAGUUUUGCGAUUAAAUUAUAAUUAUGUUGUAUGUAUAUAGCCAUUAGAAAAGGAACACUUACUAGAGGCAGGAAGGUUCAGAUCUAUUUUGUCCAACUCUUUACUGUGUUUAUACAGUUACACUUGUGGUUGGUAUACAUGAAAAAUAAAGAUAAAAAGUUUUGUACGGUUUCCUUACAAACAAUGUUCUGGCAGGAAAAGGACUGGUUUCCGCAACUCAUUUGAAAUAAAAGUCUACUAUUAUCAAUCACACAUUUGUGCUUGAGCAAAGGCUUCCUGCCUCUGGUGUUUUGUUUUUGAGACUUACAGUUAAUUUCAUCUCAGUAGAUACUGCAACUGUGAUCUUGUGCCAUAGAUCCGUUUUUUCUGAUGGAGAUACCACUACAGAGAGUCUAGAAACAUCUUAGUCUCUCACUAUUCGGAAAGAUCAAAUGUAAACAUUGAUGAUUUCAUAGGAUUGGUAGUAGAAGCAGAGCUUGGUUCUUGGCAUCAUCCUUCAUUUCUAUUGGCUUAUGGUAAAGAUUGGUUGACAAUCCUCGUUUUAUUUAUAAAAGUGGCAUUUCAUGAUUUUCAAAUAAAGAUUGACAGAGAUAGCAUGAUUGAAAGGGUGGAUGGAGCCUCUUGUUAACAUAGGACGGAUCAGCUCGAUGAUCUCACUGUUGGCAGGCUCAUUAUAAUGUCUAUGUCACUUUUCAAAUGUUAUGGUGUAAUGUAAAUGUUAUUGAUGUUCUCGUCCUGUGUAGACCUAUCACAUCUUCAAUGUGCAGCAGUGGUCUCCUCUAGGUUCAUACCUCUUGGCAAUGCAAAAGGAGCCAGUGACUAACUUUUGUGGUAAUAGGGGUGCUUAUUUCCCCUGUCGCAUGUGUUAUGAUCAUCUUAAGGUUUUGUUCUCAUAUUGGUUUUAAAAAAACUGUGCUUCCGUUUUCUCUCCAUUAAUAGGACUGAGAAUUUUGAGAAUUACAUUUGUGUUAUUGAAGGUAGAGAUGUUUGACAUCUCACCAGGAAAUCUGGUUAAGAAUCUUUGAUGUGAGAACUGGGAUAAUAGUGGUUGGACUAGAUGGUCCUGCUGUUGACGCCUCAUGCCCUUUUAUUAGAUGGGCUGGGGGAAAAGAUGAUAAAUACUUUGCCCCUACGGUGGAAUCAUAGAUGAUGAGAUGUUGAAGAAUCAGAAGAGCGCACUACUUGAUCCACUACUUGAUAUAUAGUGAAGAAGAAUCAUCUGUAGACUCGCCAGCUGAAAAAAGAAUAUAGAAAUUUUGGAAAUUGGACAAGAAGAAUCUGAAACCUCAUCAAGUGAAGAAGUGUCAAGUGAAGAAAGCUCGGGUUAAAAUGGGUUGUCUCCGCUAUUUUAUUAAUGUUGGGACUUUAGCUCUUCUCUUAAUCUAUUUGUAAAACUGAAAACCAA